Molecule: ribosomal RNA, 749 nt
Filed under: Devadatta podolestoides
Lineage: Eukaryota; Metazoa; Arthropoda; Insecta; Odonata; Devadattidae
Description: eukaryotic LSU rRNA
Rfam family: 5.8S ribosomal RNA (bases 289-443)
Source: RNAcentral
AGGAAGUAAAAGUCGUAACAAGGUUUCCGUAGGUGAACCUGCGGAAGGAUCAUUACUGCGUGGCACUCGACCAAAAGUCCCGUCAGUCCACUCGCACGCCAGGGGCAAAGUGGCGAAGUGACAAAGUGACCCCGGAUCGGGUACCGGCCUGCCAUCGGUUUUCAAAGUCUCGCGCCCGAUCCGGACGGAUGAGAAAAACACCCUGUCGGUCUCAUCACCGCGGGGAAAUGGCUUUUUUUUUUAUCAAUUCGGCUCUAACGAAAAGUAUGGAAAAAAAAAAUGAAUGCAAAUCCUAAACGGUGGAUCACUCGGCUCGUGGAUCGAUGAAGGACGCAGCAAACUGCGCGUCGAAUUGUGAACUGCAGGACACAUGAACAUCGACGCUUCGAACGCACAUUGCAGCCCACGGAUUCUGUUCCCGGGCUACGCCUGGCUGAGGGCCGGCUACCGAGUUCACCGGCGCGCCGUCGCCGGCGAUUUGGGUCGGGGGUGCUCCGUCCACCGGAGGGCCCCGGGCCCGUCUCGAACCGAGGGCGCACGCGGUCGGACUCCUCGUCCACCGCCGCCGCAGAGACGCUUCGCUUUCCACGGAAACGGCGUCCGCGGGCGGCGGGGUCACGGCGGUCCGACCGGGCGUCGUGCGCCCGCAGAGAACGAAACGAAAAAAAAACACACGCCGACCUCAGAGCAGGUGAGACCACCCGCUGAAUUUAAGCAUAUUAAUAAGCGGAGGAAAAGAAACUAACCAG